GGGCAUAAAAGCUGGCCACAGAAGCCAGCAGCGCCAAUCAUGGCGGGUCCUGGUCCAAGCUGUGGGGGUUUUGUACUUUUGCUCUUCGAACUAAAUCUUGCUGCUGCUUACUCUUUGGGCCUGCACUACCUUUACGACCUGUAACACUCACUGCCAAGGUGUGUAGCUUCACUCCUCAAGUCAGCGAGACCACAAACCCACCGGGAGGAGCUAACAGCUGUGCUACGUGCCACCUUUAAGAGCUGUAACGCUCGCUGCGAAGGUCGGCGGCUUCACGGGGAGGAAGAAACAGCUCCCGACGCGCCACCUGUAAGAGCUUAACGCUCACUGUGAAGGUCGGCGGCCUCACCCGAAGGAAGAAACAGCUCCCGACGCGCCACCUGUAAGAGCUUAACGCUCACUGUGAAGGUCGGCGGCCUCACCCGAAGGAAGAAACAGCUCCCGACGCGCCACCUGUAAGAGCUCACUGAGAAGGUCUCCGGCUUCACUCCUGAAGUCAAGCAAGACCACGAACCCGCCAGAAGGAAGAAACUCCGGACGUAUCUGAACAUCAGAAGGAACCAAUUCCGGACACACUGUUUGCAGGGAGGUGUAGACGCUGAUCACCGUUUCCAGUCAUUUUAAAAAUUCAGGCGCACGGCGGCCCUACAGGAGGGUCUGAGGCGGGCAGUCUCUGUGCCGCUGACGCUGGCGGAGACGGUGGCCUCGCUAUGGCCGGCGCUGCAGGAACUGGCCCGGUGUGGGAACCUGGCCUGCCGGUCAGACCUCCAGGUGGCGGCCAAAGCCCUGGAGAUGGGCGUGUUUGGCGCAUAUUUCAACGUGCUCAUCAACCUGAGGGACAUCACAGACGAGGCAUUUAAGGACCAGAUCCACCAUCGUGUUUCCAGCCUCCUGCAGGAAGCCAAGACCCAGGCUGCACUGGUGCUGGACUGCUUGGAGACCCGGCAGGAGUGACGGUGCGGGAGGCCUCUCCGGGCUCUGUGGCCCCUCCCUCGCCCAUCCCCAGAGGGCAGAGCUGUGACCUCGAAACCCCAGGGACAGCAGGACCUUCGACGCUGGAAGGAUAGCCUCGCUUCCCAGGUGCAGCUCUCAGCAGGUCCGGACAGUUCCACAGAGCACGGUACUGGCCCCGUCCUCAGUUCCCGUCCACCCUUCAACCAGUGGCUCCUGGGAGACUUUUCCUCCCUGCCCAGCCAGCCUCCUGUCUCCAGAGAAGUUCUCCAUUAAAAAAUAAUUUAACAAAUCA
Molecule: small RNA, 1246 nt
Filed under: Pan troglodytes (chimpanzee)
Lineage: Eukaryota; Metazoa; Chordata; Mammalia; Primates; Hominidae
Description: processed transcript
Source: RNAcentral